This 1199-nucleotide long non-coding RNA is filed under the name Homo sapiens (human). RNAcentral's name for it is "HSALNT0102781". The record is from RNAcentral. Lineage: Eukaryota; Metazoa; Chordata; Mammalia; Primates; Hominidae.
CUGCAGGAGGAUGAUACAUAUGGUUCUAGUUUGAUUUUCAUACACUAUCAUAUUUUAUUAUACUAUUUUCAUAUAUACUAUUCAUAUUUAUCAUAUUUUAAGGGCCCUGUGCAAAAAUUUUAUACUCAAUCCCAUCAAAAUUUGCAAACAAGAUGCUCUGCUGGCAGCAUAAAUAAUAAAGAUUAACCAAACAAAUUCUGCCUUUGAGAAAAUUGUGACAGAGAAACAUAAACAACAUAUGCUGAAAAUAAGACAUUAAUAGGACAUAAAGUCCCAAAUAAGACUUACAUAGACAUUUGCGGAGUAAUGUUUGUUUUAAAAAAUCAUUUUUAUUCAAGUAUAACAUAGAGAAAGAAAAGUGUGUAUAUGUGUACAGCUCUCUGAAUUUUCACAAAAUAGACAGAUACUCUGAAUGGCUGACAGGAGCCUUUCAAUUCCUGCUGGAUGGAUGUCUUAAAAGUGGCUAUCAGAUUUCAUAACAUGUUAGUGACAGUUCACAAAGCCAGUGUUAUUCUUGUACUCUCACUCUGUACUCAGGAAGAAGCCUUCUCGUAUUGAUUGGGUUCCUCUGGUGAAAAUGUGCUAAGUAGCCAACAGAGAGCUGACCUUCUUAGCAGUAGUCAGCAUCUGCAUGCAAGCAGGCUGCAGGCACUGAGAUUAGAAAGCCCCAGGAGGCAGUGGCUCUGGGUCUUUUCAAAGAGGAAGAGGGCCAGAAAUUAAACCAGAACCUUAAUCCAGGGGAUUGGGACACCACAUAAGCAGGAGUCCAGUGCUAAGCAACAGACUUCCUGAGGCUGGCUGUUGGGAAUGAUUUGUCUUUGGUGUGAGGCUGGGUGGGCUUGACCCUCAGAGGCCAAGGCUGAGGAAGAGGAAAAUGGGAAAAUGAAUGGAAAGACAAGUAGUGACCAGAAAGCAGAGCUUUCCAGGCUAAAAAGUCAAGAGACCUGGAUUCUCAUUGCCUUCAGGGCAUUUUCUCACAAAGUCACAUAACCUUGACAGCCUCGGCUUACGCAUCUGUAAAAUGAACUACUUGAACCAGGUGAGUGCUGAAUCCUUUCCAUUGUUUGGAUUAUAUACAACAGAGGAGUCUCCUUUUCAUUGCAUUAUAUUCGAUAGAAUUUUAGUUUAGAAGUUUAAUUGAUAACAACAAGGUUCAACAUUUUAAAAACUAUAUUGAAACAUAGAGUGGGUCAGGUGUG